UGGAACAGAUGUUGUGUUAUACUCAUCACUGAUCCUAAGAUCCUGGGCAUGCUAGAGUGCCUAGGAGUGGAGUUUUCUCUGGGUGCUGUGGGACUGGCCACUGAGUUAGCACUAAAGAAUCUUCCCUGCAUUGUGAAGCUACUUUGCGAAUUGAGAACCUGAGCUCUCCCCAUGAAUGACAGGUCCCCAGAUGGAAGCAGAAGUCCUUUUGUUAGUUCUAAAGGAUCAGCACACUCAAGCCAGAAGGGAAUGUCAAGGAAAACAGAUUUUUGUUUACCCCAACAUAUCCUUUACCAAACAAGUUAAAUUUCUUCUGGGUGGUCAUAACUCUUAGGGCAGAGAGUAAUUUGACAUAUAAAAAGGAAGAAAUACUACAGCUUGAAAAGAAGAAAAUGGAACUCAUUUUAGCCAAAGAAGAAAGAGCAGGCUAAGGUCGCUACAUAACUCACCCACUGUAAGCCAAGACUCUCUUCUCAAGUGCUUCCUUAUAAAUCAGACUGGAACACACUGUCUUUCACUAUGUGCCCCAGGAGAAAAAUUGCUUUAAGUCAGUGAAAGUUUGUGAAAUAGAGAAUGGGAUUCAGAGGCAAGAAAUAGAGCAAUAAAACUCUUUUAAAUAUAAUAUAAAUCAAAA
Mastomys coucha (southern multimammate mouse) is the source of this 634-nucleotide long non-coding RNA. RefSeq lists it as uncharacterized. NCBI's taxonomy places the organism in Eukaryota, Metazoa, Chordata, Mammalia, Rodentia, Muridae. The transcript has 2 exons. The record is from RefSeq and is a predicted model, not a curated record.